Amblyraja radiata (thorny skate) is the source of this 582-nucleotide long non-coding RNA. RefSeq lists it as uncharacterized. The record is from RefSeq and is a predicted model, not a curated record. The transcript has 3 exons. NCBI's taxonomy places the organism in Eukaryota, Metazoa, Chordata, Chondrichthyes, Rajiformes, Rajidae.
AGAACCUAAACGAAAAUCAAGCUCCCGAUACAAGGUCGCGAACCGAAAUGUUGCCUCCUCAGAAAUCUACCUCCUCAGAUGCUGCCUGUCCUAGCACAUGAGGGAGGAAGGACUGAAGGCGUAUAUUGGUCAGGUAAUCACAGUAGCAGGUAAAGCAACGUGCGUGCAGUCUCUACAUAUCCUCCAGGGAACUUCCUGUGCUACACAAAAUAAGUCCCCAAUACAACAAUUGCCAGUAGGAAUCAAAAUUAAAGUCAGGUGAAGAUAGACACAAAAUGCUGGCGUAACUCAACGGGUCAGGCAGCAUCUCUGGAGAGAAGGAAUGGGUGACGUUUCAGGUCGAAACCCUUCAUCAGACUGGUGAUGUUUCAGAUCGAGACCCUUGAUCAGACUGACUGAGGCGAGACUGACUAACCUAAAUCUUAUACAAAAUAAUGUGAUUCAUCGUCAUACAAUAACAACUAUAGCAAUAGUGUAUUGUAUAGUAUUAUAAACUUUACAAAAAUAAAUGGAAUACAAUAAACUAAAAUUUAAUGUAACAUAUGUCUGCCUGUAUAGACCAUCUGGGGUCAAUGGCCCGUU